This 207-nucleotide ribosomal RNA is filed under the name uncultured bacterium. RNAcentral describes it as "partial 16S ribosomal RNA". It matches the Rfam family "Bacterial small subunit ribosomal RNA", at positions 568 to 774 of the family's 1533-position model. The record is from RNAcentral.
CGUGUAGGCGGCCAAGCAAGUCAGAGGUGAAAGCCCUGGGCUCAACCUGGGAACUGCCUUUGAAACUGCUUGGCUUGAGACCGGAAGAGGAUGGCGGAAUUCCCAGUGUAGAGGUGAAAUUCGUAGAUAUUGGGAAGAACACCGGUGGCGAGGGCGGCCAUCUGGUCCGGUUCUGACGCUGAGGCGCGAAAGCGUGGGGAGCAAACA